RNAcentral lists this long non-coding RNA (354 nucleotides) under Ananas comosus (pineapple). RNAcentral's name for it is "long non-coding RNA (ACOM_LNC031695)". Lineage: Eukaryota; Viridiplantae; Streptophyta; Magnoliopsida; Poales; Bromeliaceae. The record is from RNAcentral.
UUAAAUUUUAAUUUUUAAUUUAAGUUCAAAUUAAAAUUUAAAAUUAUAUAUUUAAUUUUUAAAUUAUAACUCAUAUUUUAAUUAAAAAAGUUGAAAAAAUAAAUUUAAUCCGAAUAAAUAUCCAUUCCGUCCGGAUUCAACUUUCAAUCCGACCUCUUAGGCCGGAUUGAAAAAUGAGGUGAUUGGGGGAUUCCCAUUCCGCUCGGGAAUCAGAAUCGGAAUGGGACUCCCGCGUACCAAACACCUACAAACGGAUUCACCUAUUCCGAUUCUGAUUUUAGGGUGAAAAAAAAUGAACCAAACACGCCUAAAAUAAUAUAUAAUUAAUAUAUUUAAUAUUAAGUAUUAGAUAUU